Long non-coding RNA from Heterocephalus glaber (naked mole-rat), 852 nucleotides. The record is from Ensembl. Lineage: Eukaryota; Metazoa; Chordata; Mammalia; Rodentia; Bathyergidae.
GAAAGCAAAGUUCACUGCCAGUUCAAGAUGGUGGUGCUGCUUUAUGCAACAUAAUUCUUCAGUAGAGAGAUGCCCCGAGCAAGCCAGCCAGCGAGCCGGUGGGAGUGGGGUCUGGAGCCCCAUGGGAGCAGAGCCUGAGCGGGUGCUGGAGCAGGCGCUGGAGCCAGCAGAGCUCAGCUGUGGAGCCAGAGGGAACCAAGAAUGACCCAGCAAGAGGAAGUGGGGUUGGCAGAGAGCCUUCCGCCUGUGCUGGAGAAGAGAGACGCCUCACCUGCCCCAGAGCGCCACCCACCCUGAGAGACAGCCAGGACAGCAGGCGCUGGGCCCACGGGGCUCCUCUGCGAAGCCCGAGGCGAGAAGAAAGACAGCAGGGAAAGGUCAGCUGUGCUCCUGGGACUGGAAUGUGGAUGCCGGGGGAGCUCUGGCCUGAGCAGCCCUUGCCCCAUUGAAAGCCACGGGAUGAGACCCAGAGGCCAGUGUGGCCAGAGAUGGGAGGGACAUUAGAAUCCGCGCUCCUGCCGACACAGCUUGCCCUUGCCCAGCGGAAGAGACAGGCUGGACCAGGACAGCCAGUCUGCAAGGCAGCGACUACAAAUGCACGGCCAGAGGUUCCUGGAAGACCACGUGGAGGAAGAGGCCACAGCUGCCAACAGAGGGGGCCAGCGCCUCAGUGUGACAACACCAGGGUGGGCCUUCCAGCUUGGAAGCACAAGUCCACGCCACUCCUGGGAGUGUGUCUGUGUAACAGGGCCCAGGCCCCUCUGCUGGUUUCCAACCUGCAGUGCUCUCUGAGCAGACUCUGUGAUUUGCGGUGCAGGCCACCCAGGGACUUUAAUCUUCACCGUGACAAAU